Molecule: long non-coding RNA, 637 nt
Filed under: Coturnix japonica (Japanese quail)
Lineage: Eukaryota; Metazoa; Chordata; Aves; Galliformes; Phasianidae
Description: lncRNA (ENSCJPG00005013214.1)
Source: RNAcentral
UGAGCCUCACCCACGUCAUAGAAUCACAGAAUGUCCUGAGUUGGAAGAGACUCAGAAGAAUCCAGUCCAACUCUUGGCACCAUAGAGAACCACCCAGAAAUCGGACUGUACAUUUGUGAACUCUGUUCUGACACUUCCUGAUCUUUGAGAACGCAAUCCAUAGGAGGUACCUGCUUCUCAUCACUGUCAGGAAGAACGCUCAAGGCUGCUCAGAAACAAUCAGCUCCUACAAGCUAAUGAGAACCUUAGCAGUACUUUAUUGUAGAAACCCUAUAGAAGUCUGUGUCACAGGGCAAUGACAUACACACUAAAAGACAGAAAAGAACCCCAACAAAUUCUAUGCAUAUUUCAAUGACGGUGAAACCCUUCAGUUUGUCCUUGGUAAUCUAUGUCCAUAUCUCUGCUUCAGUGCAAUGAGCACAUCCCACUAAGACUGCACAUGAAUCAGCAAGGGGCUCCUUAAUUUGAUAAGAAGUUUCAGAGCUUGGAGGGGGAGGAAAUUCAUGAACUGGAGAGACCAUAGGAAAAGGCUCGGCUACAAACCAGGGUCCUACAUCUUCAGAUCUGAGACCUGAUUUGUUUGUGAAAGAGCUGCAGCCUGCAUUACAUUGAUAGAGAUUUCUGUUCGCUGCUUAGC